UGCGUAGGCGGGUUUCUAAGUCAGAGGUGAAAGCCUGGAGCUCAACUCCAGAACUGCCUUUGAUACUGGAAGUCUUGAGUUCGGGAGAGGUGAGUGGAACUGCGAGUGUAGAGGUGAAAUUCGUAGAUAUUCGCAAGAACACCAGUGGCGAAGGCGGCUCACUGGGCCAUUACUGACGCUGAGGCACGAAAGCGUGGGAGCAAACA
This 206-nucleotide ribosomal RNA is filed under the name uncultured bacterium. RNAcentral describes it as "partial 16S ribosomal RNA". It matches the Rfam family "Bacterial small subunit ribosomal RNA", at positions 568 to 774 of the family's 1533-position model. The record is from RNAcentral.